AGAGUUUGAUCAUGGCUCAGAACGAACGCUGGCGGCAGGCUUAACACAUGCAAGUCGAACGAGAAGCCGGACUUCGGUCUGGUGGAGAGUGGCGCACGGGUGAGUAACGCGUGGGGAUUUACCCAGCAGUACGGGAUAACAUCGGGAAACCGGUGCUAAUACCGCAUACGCCCUUCGGGGGAAAGAUUUAUCGCUGUUGGAUGAACCCGCGUAAGAUUAGAUAGUUGGUGGGGUAAUGGCCUACCAAGUCGACGAUCUUUAGCUGGUCUGAGAGGAUGAUCAGCCACACUGGAACUGAGACACGGUCCAGACUCCUACGGGAGGCAGCAGUGGGGAAUAUUGGACAAUGGGCGCAAGCCUGAUCCAGCCAUGCCGCGUGAGUGAUGAAGGCCUUAGGGUUGUAAAGCUCUUUCAUCGGUGAAGAUAAUGACGGUAACCGAAGAAGAAGCCCCGGCUAACUCCGUGCCAGCAGCCGCGGUAAUACGGAGGGGGCUAGCGUUGUUCGGAAUUACUGGGCGUAAAGCGCGCGUAGGCGGUUUUACAAGUUGGAUGUGAAAGCCCGGGGCUCAA
RNAcentral lists this ribosomal RNA (570 nucleotides) under uncultured bacterium. RNAcentral's name for it is "bacterial SSU rRNA". It matches the Rfam family "Bacterial small subunit ribosomal RNA", at positions 8 to 612 of the family's 1533-position model. The record is from RNAcentral.